GUGAAAUGCAAAUGAGUUUUUUGAGUUUUUGUUGACACCUCUAACUGCAGGAUGGAAGCGGCACAAAUUGUUCUGAUCAGGGAGCAAUAACAUGCAACGAUCCCCAGGGCUCCCAGGCAGGCGGAGGGGGCACCCAGUCUCAGCAGCCCGCGAUCUGCUUGGCCCCUGCGAGCUGCAUGCCUCACAUUUCCCCAGCUCCAGCCUCCUUUCAAAGGCCCUUUAUUAAACCACCAACUAUUUGCUGUCGAGACAUUUAGGAUGAAAUCAUUGUGUUAAACAAAUAAACGCAGCUUCGUCCAGA
Homo sapiens (human) is the source of this 301-nucleotide long non-coding RNA. Ensembl annotates it as long intergenic non-protein coding RNA 2230. The record is from Ensembl. NCBI's taxonomy places the organism in Eukaryota, Metazoa, Chordata, Mammalia, Primates, Hominidae.